This 253-nucleotide ribosomal RNA is filed under the name uncultured bacterium. RNAcentral describes it as "partial 16S ribosomal RNA". It matches the Rfam family "Bacterial small subunit ribosomal RNA", at positions 524 to 776 of the family's 1533-position model. The record is from RNAcentral.
UACGUAGGGUGCGAGCGUUGUCCGGAAUUAUUGGGCGUAAAGAGCUCGUAGGCGGCGUGUUAAGUCAGCUGUGAAAUCUCCAAGCUUAACUUGGAACGGUCAGCUGAUACUGAUGUGCUAGAGUGCAGAAGGGGCAAUCGGAAUUCUUGGUGUAGCGGUGAAAUGCGUAGAUAUCAAGAGGAACACCUGAGGUGAAGACGGGUUGCUGGGCUGACACUGACGCUGAGGCGCGAAAGCUAGGGUAGCAAACGGG